AUACAUACCUGGUAGGGGAGAAACCAUGAUCACAAACAGUAGUUUUUCCAGUGUGAGGCAUAUUCAUUGCAUUGUGGAUGUGUUGACCCCUGCAAUUCUCCCAAAUGUGAGAAACUCAACUGCAUAAUUUGGAAUUGUGAAGUACGGUGUUUAUGCUCUCCUCUG
Small nuclear RNA from Sorex araneus (European shrew), 165 nucleotides. RefSeq annotates it as U1 spliceosomal RNA. NCBI's taxonomy places the organism in Eukaryota, Metazoa, Chordata, Mammalia, Eulipotyphla, Soricidae. The record is from RefSeq and is a predicted model, not a curated record. The transcript has a single exon.